GAUCAUGGCUCAGAUUGAACGCUGGCGGCAUGCCUUACACAUGCAAGUCGAACGGUAACAGGUCUUCGGAUGCUGACGAGUGGCGAACGGGUGAGUAAUAUAUCGGAACGUGCCCAGUCGUGGGGGAUAACGCAGCGAAAGCUGUGCUAAUACCGCAUACGAUCUCUGGAUGAAAGCGGGGGACUCGCAAGGGCCUCGCGCGAUUGGAGCGGCCGAUAUCAGAUUAGCUAGUUGGUGGGGUAAAAGCCCACCAAGGCGAUGAUCUGUAGCUGGUCUGAGAGGACGACCAGCCACACUGGAACUGAGACACGGUCCAGACUCCUACGGGAGGCAGCAGUGGGGAAUUUUGGACAAUGGGCGCAAGCCUGAUCCAGCAAUGCCGCGUGCAGGAUGAAGGCCUUCGGGUUGUAAACUGCUUUUGUACGGAACGAAACGGUCUGCCCUAAUACGGUGGGCUAAUGACGGUACCGUAAGAAUAAGCACCGGCUAACNAC
This 494-nucleotide ribosomal RNA is filed under the name uncultured bacterium. RNAcentral describes it as "bacterial SSU rRNA". It matches the Rfam family "Bacterial small subunit ribosomal RNA", at positions 15 to 504 of the family's 1533-position model. The record is from RNAcentral.